Molecule: unclassified non-coding RNA, 203 nt
Filed under: Hevea brasiliensis (rubber tree)
Lineage: Eukaryota; Viridiplantae; Streptophyta; Magnoliopsida; Malpighiales; Euphorbiaceae
Source: RNAcentral
CUGGACGAGCUUCCUCUGUAGCUCGAAGGUGGAUGAAGCGGAGGCCUCGAGGUCGCCGUCUGAGAGCUGCUUGGCAAUCCAUUGGCCAUCAGAGUGGCGACACACGAAGGUGAAGACUCCCAUGGUGGAUGGCUGCAGCGUCCGUGUUUUGGGGAGUCUUCAGAAAACCUAACAAAGGAAGAAGAUGCCCUUCUUUAUGUACA